GACGAACGCUGGCGGCGUGCUUAACACAUGCAAGUCGAACGGGAACCUUUAUUUCGGUAAAGGUGAGAGUGGCAAACGGGUGAGUAACACGUAGGCAACCUGCCGACAGGAUGGGGACAACAUUCCGAAAGGAAUGCUAAUACCGAAUGGAGUCCGAGGAUGGCAUCAUCCUUGGAUAAAAGAUGGCCUCUGAAUAUGCUAUCGCCUGUCGAUGGGCCUGCGUCUGAUUAGCCAGUUGGCGGGGUAACGGCCCACCAAAGCGACGAUCAGUAGCCGGUCUGAGAGGAUGAACGGCCACAUUGGGACUGAGACACGGCCCAGACUCCUACGGGAGGCAGCAGUGGGGAAUCUUCCACAAUGGGCGAAAGCCUGAUGGAGCAACGCCGCGUGAGUGAAGAAGGUCUUCGGAUCGUAAAGCUCUGUUGCACGGGACGAAAACUGG
Molecule: ribosomal RNA, 442 nt
Filed under: Selenomonas sputigena
Lineage: Bacteria; Bacillati; Bacillota; Negativicutes; Selenomonadales; Selenomonadaceae
Description: bacterial SSU rRNA
Rfam family: Bacterial small subunit ribosomal RNA
Source: RNAcentral